GACGAACGCUGGCGGCGUGCUUAACACAUGCAAGUCGAACGGAAAGGCCCUGCUUUUGUGGGGUGCUCGAGUGGCGAACGGGUGAGUAACACGUGAGUAACCUGCCCUUGACUUUGGGAUAACUUCAGGAAACUGGGGCUAAUACCGGAUAGGAGCUCCUGUUGCAUGGUGGGGGUUGGAAAGUUUCGGCGGUUGGGGAUGGACUCGCGGCUUAUCAGCUUGUUGGUGGGGUAGUGGCUUACCAAGGCUUUGACGGGUAGCCGGCCUGAGAGGGUGACCGGCCACAUUGGGACUGAGGUACGGCCCAGACUCCUACGGGAGGCAGCAGUGGGGAAUAUUGCACAAUGGGCGGAAGCCUGAUGCAGCAACGCCGCGUGCGGGAUGACGGCCUUCGGGUUGUAAACCGCUUUCGCCUGUGACGAAGCGUGAGUGACGGUAAUGGGUAAAGAAGCACCGGCUAACUACGUG
RNAcentral lists this ribosomal RNA (468 nucleotides) under uncultured bacterium. RNAcentral describes it as "partial 16S ribosomal RNA". It matches the Rfam family "Bacterial small subunit ribosomal RNA", at positions 28 to 507 of the family's 1533-position model. The record is from RNAcentral.